Molecule: ribosomal RNA, 468 nt
Filed under: uncultured bacterium
Lineage: Bacteria
Description: partial 16S ribosomal RNA
Rfam family: Bacterial small subunit ribosomal RNA
Source: RNAcentral
GACGAACGCUGGCGGCGUGCUUAACACAUGCAAGUCGAACGGAAAGGCCCUGCUUUUGUGGGGUGCUCGAGUGGCGAACGGGUGAGUAACACGUGAGUAACCUGCCCUUGACUUUGGGAUAACUUCAGGAAACUGGGGCUAAUACCGGAUAGGAGCUCCUGCUGCAUGGUGGGGGUUGGAAAGUUUCGGCGGUUGGGGAUGGACUCGCGGCUUAUCAGCUUGUUGGUGGGGUAGUGGCUUACCAAGGCUUUGACGGGUAGCCGGCCUGAGAGGGUGACCGGCGACAUUGGGACUGAGAUACGGACCAGACUCCUACGGGAGGCAGCAGUGGGGAAUAUUGCACAAUGGGCGGAAGCCUGAUGCAGCAACGCCGCGUGCGGGAUGACGGCCUUCGGGUUGUAAACCGCUUUCGCCUGUGACGAGGCGUGAGUGACGGUAAUGGGUAAAGAAGCACCGGCUAACUACGUG